ACGGGGGGAGCAAGCGUUGUUCGGAUUUACUGGGCGUAAAGGGCGCGUAGGCGGCCACCGCAAGUCGACUGUGAAAUCUCCGGGCUUAACCCGGAAAGGUCAGCCGAUACUGCGGGGCUAGAGUGCAGAAGGGGCAACUGGAAUUCUCGGUGUAGCGGUGAAAUGCGUAGAUAUCGAGAGGAACACCUGCGGCGAAGGCGGGUUGCUGGGCUGACACUGACGCUGAGGCGCGAAAGCUAGGGGAGCGAACGGGA
This 254-nucleotide ribosomal RNA is filed under the name uncultured prokaryote. RNAcentral describes it as "partial 16S ribosomal RNA". It matches the Rfam family "Bacterial small subunit ribosomal RNA", at positions 525 to 777 of the family's 1533-position model. The record is from RNAcentral.